This 317-nucleotide ribosomal RNA is filed under the name uncultured prokaryote. Its description in RNAcentral is "bacterial SSU rRNA". It matches the Rfam family "Bacterial small subunit ribosomal RNA", at positions 26 to 335 of the family's 1533-position model. The record is from RNAcentral.
AGGACGAACGCUGGCGGCGUGCUUAACACAUGCAAGUCGAACGAGAUCCAUUUGGUGGUAACACCAGAGAAGAUCUAGUGGUGAACGGGUGAGUAACACGUGAGCAACCUACCCCGAAGAUUGGGAUAACACCGGGAAACCGGUGCUAAUACCGGAUACCCCCAUCUGAUCGCAUGUUUGGAUGAGGAAAUGAAUCUUGCUUCGGGAGGGGCUCGCGGCCUAUCAGCUAGUUGGUGAGGUAACGGCUCACCAAGGCUAGGACGGGUAGCUGGUCUGAGAGGACGACCAGCCACAUUGGGACUGAGACACGGCCCAGA